Molecule: long non-coding RNA, 200 nt
Filed under: Lathyrus oleraceus (garden pea)
Lineage: Eukaryota; Viridiplantae; Streptophyta; Magnoliopsida; Fabales; Fabaceae
Description: Pisum sativum (pea) long non-coding RNA (PSAT_LNC032189)
Source: RNAcentral
AAAUUUCAACAAAUGUUACUCCCUUUGAAGAGACUUAUAAUGGAUUUUAACCUUCAAAAUCCCAAAUUCCAUAUUUUUGUAUUUUAUUUUAUUUGUUUUCUAUUUUCAUAUUCUAAAAUAAAAUAUUAAAUUUUUUGUAGAUUCGUUAUUUUAUUUAUUUGAUUUUUAGUCAUAUUUUCAUAAUUUUUAUAUUUUAUUUU